RNAcentral lists this transfer RNA (85 nucleotides) under Anaerolineae bacterium. Its description in RNAcentral is "tRNA-Tyr". It matches the Rfam family "tRNA". From Rfam's summary of the family: Transfer RNA (tRNA) molecules are approximately 80 nucleotides in length. Their secondary structure includes four short double-helical elements and three loops (D, anti-codon, and T loops). The record is from RNAcentral. Lineage: Bacteria; Bacillati; Chloroflexota; Anaerolineae.
GGGCCUGACGAGGAGUAGAGGCAACUCCGCCAGUCUGUAGAACUGGUCCCUAACGGGCUUGAAGGUUCGAGUCCUUCCAGGCCCA